CCUACGGGAGGCAGCAGUGGGGAAUUUUGGACAAUGGGCGCAAGCCUGAUCCAGCAAUGCCGCGUGAGUGAAGAAGGCCUUCGGGUUGUAAAGCUCUUUUGUCAGGGAAGAAACGGUGGAGGCUAAUAUCCUUUGCUAAUGACGGUACCUGAAGAAUAAGCACCGGCUAACUACGUGCCAGCAGCCGCGGUAAUACGUAGGGUGCAAGCGUUAAUCGGAAUUACUGGGCGUAAAGCGUGCGCAGGCGGUUUUGUAAGUUUGUCGUGAAAUCCCCGGGCUCAACCUGGGAAUGGCGAUGAAGACUGUAAGGCUAGAAUCUGGCAGAGGGGGGUAGAAUUCCACGUGUAGCAGUGAAAUGCGUAGAGAUGUGGAGGAACACCGAUGGCGAAGGCAGCCCCCUGGGUCAAGAUUGACGCUCAUGCACGAAAGCGUGGGGAGCAAACAGGAUUAGAUACCCUGGUAGUCCACGCCCUAAACGAUGUCUACUAGUUGUCGGGUUUUAAUUAACUUGGUAACGCAGCUAACGCGUGAAGUAGACCGCCUGGGGAGUACGGUCGCAAGAUUAAAACUCAAAGGAAUUGACGG
RNAcentral lists this ribosomal RNA (585 nucleotides) under uncultured bacterium. RNAcentral describes it as "bacterial SSU rRNA". It matches the Rfam family "Bacterial small subunit ribosomal RNA", at positions 338 to 916 of the family's 1533-position model. The record is from RNAcentral.